RNAcentral lists this ribosomal RNA (875 nucleotides) under uncultured bacterium. RNAcentral describes it as "bacterial SSU rRNA". It matches the Rfam family "Bacterial small subunit ribosomal RNA", at positions 8 to 916 of the family's 1533-position model. The record is from RNAcentral.
AGAGUUUGAUCAUGGCUCAGAAUCAACGCUGGCGGCGCGCUUAACACAUGCAAGUCGAACGAGAAAGGGGAGCAAUCCCUGAGUAAAGUGGCGUACGGGUGAGUAACACGUGGAUGAUCUACCUCUUAGUGGGGGAUAACCUUGGGAAACCGGGGCUAAUACCGCAUAAGCCUGAAAAGGGAAAGGAGCAAUUCGCUGAGAGAGGAGUCCGCGGCUGAUUAGCUAGUUGGUGAGGUAACGGCCCACCAAGGCAAUGAUCGGUAGCCGGCCUGAGAGGGCACACGGCCACACUGGCACUGAAACACGGGCCAGACUCCUACGGGAGGCAGCAGUGGGGAAUCUUGCACAAUGGGGGCAACCCUGAUGCAGCGACGCCGCGUGAGCGAUGAAGCCCUUCGGGGUGUAAAGCUCUUUCGACGGGAACGAUAAUGACGGUACCCGGAGAAGAAGCUGCGGCUAACUACGUGCCAGCAGCCGCGGUAAUACGUAGGCAGCAAGCGUUGUUCGGAGUUACUGGGCGUAAAGAGUGCGUAGGCGGUCCUGUAAGUUUGGUGUGAAAUCUCCCGGCUCAACUGGGAGGGUGCGCCGAAGACUGCAGGGCUUGAGUAUGGGAGAGGUAAGCGGAAUUCCUGGUGUAGCGGUGAAAUGCGUAGAUAUCAGGAGGAACACCUGUGGUGUAGACAGCUUACUGGACCAUAACUGACGCUGAGGCACGAAAGCGUGGGUAGCAAACAGGAUUAGAUACCCUGGUAGUCCACGCCCUAAACGAUGCAUACUUGGUGUGAGCCAUUCAUUUGGUUCGUGCCGGAGCUAACGCGUUAAGUAUGCCGCCUGGGGAGUACGGUCGCAAGGCUGAAACUUAAAGGAAUUGACGG